GCAUGUUCUAUUCUUCACUCACUUCAACACUAUCACAUUGCAUAUAAACAUUCUGGGUUGAAUAUUCUUCAAUCCAAAAUUCAAAGCAUGAAAUAAUAAAGUGAUCAAACCCUACGUAUUGCAUACGUGGGGGACCCCACGACCUGUGUUAGGCAAAUCGAAACCCUUGAACCUUUUUUCCUAACCAGUCUAGUCACUAUCCUUGGUAUAGCAACAGUUUUCAUAAUCUUCCUAGGUGGUUUUGGACUUUGGUUUACCCACUGUUGAACCAGCAGGAGGCCUUUCCGUGCUUUUCUUGACGUUGGUCUUCAAUUGGAAAGCGUGUUUUUACUGGGAGCUUUGGAUGGAGUGAGAAAAGAUUUGCUGGUUUUAACAAAGUCUUGAUUGAUGCUGAUGUACAUCUAUGGCAGGCACAUACAUGAAUACAGACUUUAAUGGAAAGACUCACUUCUCUGACGGCAGGUGUGUUGAACCAGACAAAGGUUCAUGCCAGCCACCAAAGGAGCACAAGAUUUAGGCCAGGACAUUGUGUUUGGGUCUUACUGAUUUAUGUUUUCUUUCUUGAAUGUUUCGGCCAGCUGAGUUUUUGUUAGACUAUCUCCAAUGGGAGAUCCUUAAUCUCAUCCAAGAUGACUUGGCAAAAAUCCUUAUUUUUGGACCCAAUGAAGAACAUUUGCUUUUAAUCUAUCCAAAAGAUAAAUCCUUCUGCAAGGACUUCACUUAUUUUGAUUAAUGUGCCAAUUUCUUUAUAUCAUACUUUUUCUUUCAACAUUUGUUGAAGAAGAA
Molecule: long non-coding RNA, 786 nt
Organism: Helianthus annuus (common sunflower)
Lineage: Eukaryota; Viridiplantae; Streptophyta; Magnoliopsida; Asterales; Asteraceae
Exons: 3
Source: RefSeq, a predicted model, not a curated record